UACGUAUGGAGCAAGCGUUAUCCGGAUUUACUGGGUGUAAAGGGUGCGUAGGUGGCAGUGCAAGUCAGAUGUGAAAGGCCGGGGCUCAACCCCGGAGCUGCAUUUGAAACUGCAUAGCUAGAGUACAGGAGAGGCAGGCGGAAUUCCUAGUGUAGCGGUGAAAUGCGUAGAUAUUAGGAGGAACACCAAUGGCGAAGGCGGCCUGCUGGACUGUUACUGACACUGAGGCACGAAAGCGUGGGGAGCAAACAGG
Molecule: ribosomal RNA, 253 nt
Filed under: Anaerobutyricum hallii
Lineage: Bacteria; Bacillati; Bacillota; Clostridia; Lachnospirales; Lachnospiraceae
Description: partial 16S ribosomal RNA
Rfam family: Bacterial small subunit ribosomal RNA
Source: RNAcentral